AUUCCAGCUCCAAUAGCGUAUAUUAAAGUUGUUGCAGUUAAAAAGCUCGUAGUUGGAUUUCUGGUAGGAGCGACCGUGCCGAACUUGAUUGUUCGUGUAUUGUGUUGUCUUCAGCCAUCCUCGUGGAGAACUUUUCUAACAUUAACUUGUUGGGAUUGGGACCCGCGUCGUUUACUGUGAAAAAAUUAGAGUGUUUAAAGCAGGCAUUAGCUUGAAUACAUUAGCAUGGAAUAAUAAGAUAGGACUUUGGUACUAUUUUGUUGGUUUCUAGAGCUGAGGUAAUGAUUAAUAGGGAUAGUUGGGGGCAUUCGUAUUUAACUGUCAGAGGUGAAAUUCUUGGAUUUUGGAAAGAUGAACUACUGCGAAGGCAUUUACCAAGGAUGUUUUCAUCA
RNAcentral lists this ribosomal RNA (392 nucleotides) under Labyrinthuloides sp. RNAcentral's name for it is "partial small subunit ribosomal RNA". It matches the Rfam family "Eukaryotic small subunit ribosomal RNA", at positions 582 to 975 of the family's 1831-position model. The record is from RNAcentral. Lineage: Eukaryota; Bigyra; Thraustochytrida; Thraustochytriidae.